CGUCAGAUAGCUCAAUGGUCUAGAGCAAUCACCCGCUAAGCGAAAGAAAGACCCGGAUUCGAUUCCCGGUCUAGCGA
Non-coding RNA from Harpegnathos saltator (Jerdon's jumping ant), 77 nucleotides. NCBI's taxonomy places the organism in Eukaryota, Metazoa, Arthropoda, Insecta, Hymenoptera, Formicidae. The record is from Rfam.